AUUGAACGCUGGCGGCAGGCCUAACACAUGCAAGUCGAACGAGUGGCGGACGGGUGAGUAAUGUCUGGGAAACUGCCUGAUGGAGGGGGAUAACUACUCGAAACGGUAGCUAAUACCGCAUACCAUCAGAUGUGCCCAGAUGGGAUUGGCUAGUUGGUGGGGUAACGGCUCACCAAGGCGACGAUCCCUAGCUGGUCUGAGAGGAUGACCAGCCACAAUGAAACUGAGACAGGGUCGAGACGCCGACGAGAGGCAGAAGUGGGGAAUAUUGCACAAUGGGCGCAAGCCAGAUGAAGCCAUGCCGCGUGUAUGAAGAGGGCCUUCGGGUUGUAAAGUACUUUCAGCGGGGAGGCGUUAACCGCAGAAGAAGCACCGGCUAACUCCGUGCAAGCCUCCGCGGUAAUAC
This 406-nucleotide ribosomal RNA is filed under the name uncultured bacterium. RNAcentral's name for it is "partial 16S ribosomal RNA". It matches the Rfam family "Bacterial small subunit ribosomal RNA", at positions 30 to 526 of the family's 1533-position model. The record is from RNAcentral.